RNAcentral lists this transfer RNA (84 nucleotides) under Phycisphaerae bacterium. Its description in RNAcentral is "tRNA-Leu". It matches the Rfam family "tRNA". Rfam says of the family: Transfer RNA (tRNA) molecules are approximately 80 nucleotides in length. Their secondary structure includes four short double-helical elements and three loops (D, anti-codon, and T loops). The record is from RNAcentral. RNAcentral also lists the same sequence under 1 other name. Lineage: Bacteria; Pseudomonadati; Planctomycetota; Phycisphaerae.
GCCCGGGUGGCGGAAUAGGCAGACGCGCAUGGUUGAGGGCCAUGUGCCCGUUAGGGCGUGCUGGUUCGACUCCAGUCCCGGGCA